Long non-coding RNA from Globicephala melas (long-finned pilot whale), 495 nucleotides. RefSeq lists it as uncharacterized. Lineage: Eukaryota; Metazoa; Chordata; Mammalia; Artiodactyla; Delphinidae. The record is from RefSeq and is a predicted model, not a curated record.
UCUACAGACAAGGGCGAGGGCAGGGACACUCUUCUUACGUUUACGGAGCUUAUCCGCCAGAGAAGGAUGUUCGCACAAUGUUUUUCGUCCCGGAAGGUGCCAGCCAUUGUGACCGCUCUGCGAAUGAAUGAAUGCUCUUCCUUGAGUGGUCUUCCCUAAUGAAGACGGACCCUGCCCUGGUGCCGGAUUAAAGACACCUGCCAGGAGUUACAAAUCAGAAUGCUCCAGCCUGAGAGGAUGGCAACAGCUCGGCAAGGGGUCAGAGCCAGGCGCCUGGAGCGUCUGCAGGACACAGGAGCUUCCCUCAGGGUCCUCCGAGAAUUUCCAUGACUUGGCUGUUGAGAAUCCUGCACUGGUCCUCUGUUUCUUAUCUUCAUUUUCUACAUCUUUGUCUUUUUUGCUGUGCUUUCUGGGAGAUUCCCUCAAAUUUAUCUGUCAGAUUUCCUCUUUAGUUUUGUGUGUGCUCUUCUACUUUUAAUUUUCAAGACCUCUUUU